AAUGUGAACCUCAUCAGCUGUGGACCUGAAUAAGACACUGGGAUAAGCUGCCUCUUAACUCUGAGCCAGUCUUCCCAGAACAGUGGUGGUAAAGGAGGAUGCCCCUGACACACCAGAAGAGAAGCUGUGCUUGGCUGCAGAGUGAGUCAGCCCUUCUCAAGAUAAAUGUGCAAGAUAGGUGAGAUGAAUCACACACUGGAGGUGCCUAUUUGUCUCCAUUGACUAUGCAAGAAGCCUGUCCAACUAAAUAGGUUUAGACACCUAACUUUUAGGCACCUAAAAUCAGGUGAGAGGAAUCCCAUCCUCAUUGUUCUUCAUUCUUCAUUAGCAAAGGAGGCAGUGGAAGAGGCUUCCUGGAAAUGCCCUCCCAGAUUUGGACCUGGCCAAACCCCUCCAUCCUCUGUGUAUGGGAAUCUGCAAAGCCUCGCCUCUGUUCCUCCCCACGCAACUCCUACGGGCAUGGGGCGCUCCAGCCAUGCCCAGCUGGCAGAGAUGAAAGCGUGCUCCCUGCUGUGGUCUGAAUGAGACAACGGUCUUGUGGGAAAAGAUGUAAUAGUGGAACUGAAGUUGAACUGAAGUCUGUAUCAUAAUGUAUUCAGAGCAGGCGGGAGGGCA
Pezoporus flaviventris is the source of this 615-nucleotide long non-coding RNA. RefSeq lists it as uncharacterized. NCBI's taxonomy places the organism in Eukaryota, Metazoa, Chordata, Aves, Psittaciformes, Psittacidae. The transcript has 2 exons. The record is from RefSeq and is a predicted model, not a curated record.